Molecule: long non-coding RNA, 695 nt
Organism: Magnolia sinica
Lineage: Eukaryota; Viridiplantae; Streptophyta; Magnoliopsida; Magnoliales; Magnoliaceae
Exons: 3
Source: RefSeq, a predicted model, not a curated record
UAGACAAAUUAUUGGUAUUCUUUCAUAAGUUACAUGGAUAUUGUAAAGCACGUCUUGGUUGAUAUGCGAGUAGGAUACAUGGAUACAUGAGGGGUAUGUUUAACAUGGAUACCUCUAAGAACUUAUGGUGGUCUUGAAAUUUUGCUCGUCUUACCUCUCAUUUUGUUGCAAGAGUUAUUUUCAUGACCCAAUAUUGGUAUUUCUUCCGUAAUUAAUCAAUGCCUGUUGCUUUGUACUGUAACAGGGUUGCAGGAAUUGUUCUCCCAAACAGAUGGAAACCAUCCAGUUCCAAGGAUCUCAGUGAUGGUCAAUAUGACUUCAAAUUUUGAUCCUUCCAAGAAGGAUCAGAAAUCAUAGGAGCCUACAGUUCUGCCUGGCCCAUCUAUGGAUGAAAUAAAUGUUGCCAAUAAAAACUUAAUGAUGGAUGAAGAGUUUCAAAUUACUGGGCCUGAACAACAGGCACACACAGUUAGGCUUGAGAGUGUUGUCAAGUAGGUAGCUGAAGUUAUGGAUGAGGUGCCUACAGAUGAAAUUGAUUUGUCAUGGUUUUCUGGCAAUUUACGACGGGAUGACUGUUAUAAUGGUCAUGACCGUUGGAGUAUAUCCGAUGGCAACAACUUUAGAGACCGUAGCCAACAUUAUUUAUCUGACAAAAGCAAGGUCUUUUGAUGCUUUCUUUAAUACUAGUGAAUAUU